CCGUGCCUGCGAGCGCCCGCGGCUCCUUUCUUUAGGGGCUUGUUGGGUGCCGCGUCCGGCCCAACCGUGUCUAUCUGUACCUGUUGCUUCGGCGGGCCUGCGGGCUCUGCUCGCUGCCGGGGGCCCCUGGGGCUCCGGGCUCGUGCCCGCCGGAGACGCCUGGAACUUCUGUUGAAUCUAGCGGUCUGAGUGGACUUUAUAAUCGUUA
RNAcentral lists this unclassified non-coding RNA (208 nucleotides) under uncultured Spiromastix. RNAcentral's name for it is "sequence contains ITS1". Lineage: Eukaryota; Fungi; Ascomycota; Eurotiomycetes; Onygenales; Onygenaceae. The record is from RNAcentral.